GGUUAAGCGACUAAGCGUACACGGUGGAUGCCCUGGCAGUCAGAGGCGAUGAAGGACGUGCUAAUCUGCGAAAAGCGCCGGCGAGGUGAUAUGAACCCUUGACCCGGCGAUGUCCGAAUGGGGAAACCCAGUGUGUUCCGACACACUAUCGUUAACUGAAUACAUAGGUUAACGAGGCGAACCGGGGGAACUGAAACAUCUAAGUACCCCGAGGAAAAGAAAUCAACCGAGAUUCCCCCAGUAGCGGCGAGCGAACGGGGAGCAGCCCGGAGUCUGAAUCAGCUUGUGUGUUAGUGGAACGGUCUGGAAAGUCCGACGGUACAGGGUGAUAGUCCCGUACACGAAAAUGCACAUGCUGUGAACUCGAAGAGUAGGGCGGGACACGUGGUAUCCUGUCUGAAUAUGGGGGGACCAUCCUCCAAGGCUAAAUACUCCUGACUGACCGAUAGUGAACCAGUACCGUGAGGGAAAGGCGAAAAGAACCCCGGCGAGGGGAGUGAAAAAGAACCUGAAACCGUGUACGUACAAGCAGUGGGAGCACCUUCGGGUGUGACUGCGUACCUUUUGUAUAAUGGGUCAGCGACUUAUAUUCUGUAGCAAGGUUAACCGUAUAGGGGAGCCGAAGGGAAACCGAGUCUUAACUGGGCGUUAAGUUGCAGGGUAUAGACCCGAAACCCGGUGAUCUAGCCAUGGGCAGGUUGAAGGUUGGGUAACACUAACUGGAGGACCGAACCGACUAAUGUUGAAAAAUUAGCGGAUGACCUGUGGCUGGGGGUGAAAGGCCAAUCAAACCGGGAGAUAGCUGGUUCUCCCCGAAAGCUAUUUAGGUAGCGCCUCGUGAACUCAUCUUCGGGGGUAGAGCACUGUUUCGGCUAGGGGGCCAUCCCGGCUUACCAACCCGAUGCAAACUACGAAUACCGAAGAAUGUUAUCACGGGAGACACACGGCGGGUGCUAACGUCCGUCGUGAAGAGGGAAACAACCCAGACCGCCAGCUAAGGUCCCAAAGUCAUGGUUAAGUGGGAAACGAUGUGGGAAGGCACAGACAGCCAGGAUGUUGGCUUAGAAGCAGCCAUCAUUUAAAGAAAGCGUAAUAGCUCACUGGUCGAGUCGGCCUGCGCGGAAGAUGUAACGGGGCUAAACCAUGCACCGAAGCUGCGGCAGCGACACUAUGUGUUGUUGGGUAGGGGAGCGUUCUGUAAGCCGUUGAAGGUGUGCUGUGAGGCAUGCUGGAGGUAUCAGAAGUGCGAAUGCUGACAUAAGUAACGAUAAAGCGGGUGAAAAGCCCGCUCGCCGGAAGACCAAGGGUUCCUGUCCAACGUUAAUCGGGGCAGGGUGAGUCGACCCCUAAGGCGAGGCCGAAAGGCGUAGUCGAUGGGAAACAGGUUAAUAUUCCUGUACUUGGUGUUACUGCGAAGGGGGGACGGAGAAGGCUAUGUCAGCCGGGCGACGGUUGUCCCGGUUUAAGCAUGUAGGCGGAGGUUCCAGGUAAAUCCGGUACCUUGUUAACGCUGAGGUGUGAUGACGAGGCACUACGGUGCUGAAGUGAUAAAUGCCCUGCUUCCAGGAAAAGCCUCUAAGCAUCAGGUAACACGAAAUCGUACCCCAAACCGACACAGGUGGUCAGGUAGAGAAUACCAAGGCGCUUGAGAGAACUCGGGUGAAGGAACUAGGCAAAAUGGUGCCGUAACUUCGGGAGAAGGCACGCUGAUAUGUAGGUGAAGUCCCUGCGGACGGAGCUGAAAUCAGUCGAAGAUACCAGCUGGCUGCAACUGUUUAUUAAAAACACAGCACUGUGCAAACACGAAAGUGGACGUAUACGGUGUGACGCCUGCCCGGUGCCGGAAGGUUAAUUGAUGGGGUUAGCGGCAACGCGAAGCUCUUGAUCGAAGCCCCGGUAAACGGCGGCCGUAACUAUAACGGUCCUAAGGUAGCGAAAUUCCUUGUCGGGUAAGUUCCGACCUGCACGAAUGGCGUAAUGAUGGCCAGGCUGUCUCCACCCGAGACUCAGUGAAAUUGAACUCGCUGUGAAGAUGCAGUGUACCCGCGGCAAGACGGAAAGACCCCGUGAACCUUUACUAUAGCUUGACACUGAACACUGGUCCUUGAUGUGUAGGAUAGGUGGGAGGCUUUGAAGCGUGGACGCCAGUCUGCGUGGAGCCGCCCUUGAAAUACCACCCUUUAAUGGCUGGUGUUCUAACGUAGACCCGUGAUCCGGGUUGCGGACAGUGUCUGGUGGGUAGUUUGACUGGGGCGGUCUCCUCCCAAAGAGUAACGGAGGAGCACGAAGGUUGGCUAAUCCUGGUCGGACAUCAGGAGGUUAGUGCAAUGGCAUAAGCCAGCUUGACUGCGAGCGUGACGGCGCGAGCAGGUGCGAAAGCAGGUCAUAGUGAUCCGGUGGUUCUGAAUGGAAGGGCCAUCGCUCAACGGAUAAAAGGUACUCCGGGGAUAACAGGCUGAUACCGCCCAAGAGUUCAUAUCGACGGCGGUGUUUGGCACCUCGAUGUCGGCUCAUCACAUCCUGGGGCUGAAGUAGGUCCCAAGGGUAUGGCUGUUCGCCAUUUAAAGUGGUACGCGAGCUGGGUUUAGAACGUCGUGAGACAGUUCGGUCCCUAUCUGCCGUGGGCGCUGGAGAAUUGAGGGGGGCUGCUCCUAGUACGAGAGGACCGGAGUGGACGCAUCACUGGUGUUCGGGUUGUCAUGCCAAUGGCACUGCCCGGUAGCUAAAUGCGGAAGAGAUAAGUGCUGAAAGCAUCUAAGCACGAAACUUGCCCCGAGAUGAGUUCUCCCUGAGACCUUGAGUCUCCUGAAGGAACGUUGAAGACGACGACGUUGAUAGGUCGGGUGUGUAAGCGCAGCGAUGCGUUGAGCUAACCGAUACUAAUGAACCGUGAGGCUUAACCUU
This 2904-nucleotide ribosomal RNA is filed under the name Enterobacter hormaechei. Its description in RNAcentral is "23S ribosomal RNA". It matches the Rfam family "Bacterial large subunit ribosomal RNA". The record is from RNAcentral. Lineage: Bacteria; Pseudomonadati; Pseudomonadota; Gammaproteobacteria; Enterobacterales; Enterobacteriaceae. RNAcentral also lists the same sequence under 1 other name.